UAUUGAUGAGCUUCAAACUUUUACUUCCCAACCAGUCGUGGCAUUCUGAUUUGGUUCGUGUCAAGUCGUCUAUCUUUUGGUCAUUUAUGGACUAUUUUUCUAUCACAUUCAACUUAUACCUUAUAAGCUUUCUUGGGCAGGAUUCUUUUUCCUUUUAGGGAUCAUGAAGCCAGAAAGCAUAGGUAGACACUGAUUCACUUUUGUGUCAAAAUAGGACUGUGAGCCAACGGAGAUACAUCAUAAGAAGACUGUGUAAGUCUCUUCUCUCCCUUUCUCUUUGCUUCAAAUUCCCUUGAGCUGUUCAGACAUGAGCGAAAUUUAACCAAUUUUAAAACACUUUGAAAGGAAAAGUUCCUGUUUUUGUAUUGUUCUGCAUCUGUCUUGUUCAAUACAGUUCUUACCAAUUGAUUAUUGGUUUAGGUUUGUCUCUUGCCAUUGAUAGCGUUGGAAAUAAAUAUGGAAGACACAAUCAUGCCGUUGCUGUAUGUGCAGGGACGAUGAAUUUCUGGUGAAUGCCCCACUAAUCGAUGUGGUGUUGGACCAGAUUCUUUUCUUCAACAACAUAAUGCAAUGUUAUGGUUUUCAUGAGAACAAGGAUUCCUUGUAAUAAAGAUAGGGGGGGCAAGAGGCUGUUUGAUGAGUGAUGAAGCCUGCUCGUUUAGCAAGCUUAAUGAAUUGUGCUUGAUAAUGGAGGCAAAGUGUAUAUAGUGCAUGUAAAUUUGAUUGGUAGGGUAGAUUCUAUAGAUUUCCCAUGUUACAAAAUGUUGUAUGCUGUUCUUGGAAUAUAUGGUCACUGUAAAUAUUCUUAUUUGUAACAUGUUCUUUUGCUUUUCUGAUUUUAUUUGUUUUUCAUGACUGGUAUUAAGCCUGGACGAAUGAUGAUGAACGUGUUGGUAGUAAUGACG
This 905-nucleotide long non-coding RNA is filed under the name Gossypium barbadense (sea-island cotton). RNAcentral describes it as "long non-coding RNA (GBAR_LNC013299)". Lineage: Eukaryota; Viridiplantae; Streptophyta; Magnoliopsida; Malvales; Malvaceae. The record is from RNAcentral.